AGCGAACGCUGGCGGCAGGCUUAACACAUGCAAGUCGAGCGGGCAUCCUUGUGGUUUCAGCGGCAGACGGGUGAGUAACGCGUGGGAACGUGCCCUUCGAUUCGCAAUAACUCAGGGAAACUUGACCUAAUACCGGGUACGUUCGAGAGCAGAAAGGUUUAUCUGCCGAAGGAUCGCCCCGCGUCUGAUUAGCUAGUUGGUGAGGUUACGGCUCACCAAGGCGACGAUCAGUAGCUGGUCUGAGAGGAUGAUCAGCCACACUGGGACUGAGACACGGCCCAGACUCCUACGGGAGGCAGCAGUGGGGAAUAUUGGAGACUGGGGGCAACCCUGAUCCAGCCAUGCCGCGUGAGUGAUGACGGCCUUAGGGUUGUAAAGCUCUUUUCUCCGGGACGAUAAUGACGGUACCGGAGGAAUAAGCCCCGGCUAACUUCGUG
Molecule: ribosomal RNA, 437 nt
Filed under: uncultured bacterium
Lineage: Bacteria
Description: partial 16S ribosomal RNA
Rfam family: Bacterial small subunit ribosomal RNA
Source: RNAcentral